CUAUGCAGAGGCACCUGUGGGGCUGGAGUGUGCCUCACUGCUUGAGGAAGGAGUUGGGUGGUGCGUUGCUGGCUUCCUGGCCUCUCUCGUAGGGGAUUUAGCCACCAAAAUGUGCUUAUUCCUUAAAACACUAGGACCAAAGAGAGAGGGCAGCUGGCCACUCAUGGAGGAGCGUGUGAAGCCCUGGCUGUCUUCCAAGGACAACACAGAUGGAGUUGGAGAGUGGCAAGAGAAAGCACAGCAUGGCCUUCAAAAUUGGCUGUCAAGUCCUUCAGUAUUACAGCACUGAGGAAAUGAGACGAGUGGGAAGCAGAAAACCAACCUUUGUAAAUCUGACAUCCAUUAUUGUCAUCUUUCCCCCAUUGUUCCAGUGGAGUGGAACAUCUGCGAUACUGAGAGACCUCUCACUGUGGAGAUCUUCCACUCGCAACAAAGCUGCAUCGAGUUUACCAACUUCAAAAGUGUUCAAGAGAAAGAGGCGUUUUGUUUGGUUUCAGUCUUGCUCCAAAUAUACACAGUGUAGUAGGUGCAGUGAUCAAAAGGAUGAAUAUAGUUUGUUCCUUUUUGAUGCAGGAAAAAAUCAAAGUCAAUGAAUUUACUUGCUCCUGUAAUAUACCCAUGGAGUCAGGUGUGCUCACAGAUGAUAUUUUCCUUAGAACAUGCCCCCAAAGUGCAGCUCCAACAUGUGAGAGACCUCUUUCCUAUGCGUUCACUGGAUGAAAGGGUCCCCAACCCAAGUUUGUCUGAGGUUUUCAGUAGAAGUUUUGUGAUUGAAUUUUGCUAAUUAAAGGAUGGAUUCAAUAGCUAAGGGUUCCUCUUUUGUGUGAGGUAAAGAACAGACUCCUUAAAGUUUCUGGCACACAAAGGCAAACAUCACUGCACUUAUGCCCUAUGAAUUGCAAUGAGCUUCAGGAGACAAGAAGCCAUAUUAUAGCAUUCUGGAAUAAGAAGGUGAACUAAGCUCUCUAAGAAACCCCUUUGACCUGUGUGCUUUUUUUUAAAUGUAAAAAUGAAAGGUGUAACUAAGGUUUGAUGAUUUUAUUUCUUAUGAAUGAUAGCUUUUUAUUUACGUAACACAGUCAUGAGCAAUAUCAGCUAGAAACUGAUAUGUCAUUCAGCACACUCAAAAUAUCAGAGUCUGUCCAGCUUAAAUCCAGCCUUACAUGUUAAAGUCAAAGAGCUAGAAGAACACUCAGUUUGCAGAGCGAUUUGCCAUUUUUGGUCACCUCACAUGGCUGUGGAUUGGAAGGGAAAAAGAAAAAGGGCUCCUGGCAUGUGGAGCUGCAUAAGCUCUCUCCAGCAUAGUAGAACCAGAUAAACAUAGGAAUAGAAGGUACUCUUUCUUUAUGUGAAGAGUAACAUAUGGGACUUUGCAUUAGAGAUCAAUAAAUGCAGUUUAUUGUUUCA
This 1407-nucleotide long non-coding RNA is filed under the name Dromaius novaehollandiae (emu). RNAcentral describes it as "lncRNA (ENSDNVG00000019021.1)". Lineage: Eukaryota; Metazoa; Chordata; Aves; Casuariiformes; Dromaiidae. The record is from RNAcentral.